AACGAACGCUGGCGGCAGGCUUAACACAUGCAAGUCGAGCGAGAUCUUCGGGUCUAGCGGCGGACGGGUGAGUAACGCGUGGGAACGUGCCCUUUUCUGCGGAAUAGCCUCGGGAAACUGAGAGUAAUACCGCAUACGCCCUUUUGGGGAAAGAUUUAUCGGAGAAGGAUCGGCCCGCGUUGGAUUAGGUAGUUGGUGGGGUAAAGGCCUACCAAGCUGACGAUCCAUAGCUGGUUUGAGAGGAUGAUCAGCCACACUGGGACUGAGACACGGCCCAGACUCCUACGGGAGGCAGCAGUGGGGAAUCUUAGACAAUGGGGGCAACCCUGAUCUAGCCAUGCCGCGUGAGUGAUGAAGGCCUUAGGGUUGUAAAGCUCUUUCAGCUGGGAAAAUAAUGACGGUACCAGCAGAAGAAGCCCCGGCUAACUCCGUGCCAGCCGCCGCAGUAA
RNAcentral lists this ribosomal RNA (449 nucleotides) under uncultured bacterium. RNAcentral's name for it is "partial 16S ribosomal RNA". It matches the Rfam family "Bacterial small subunit ribosomal RNA", at positions 29 to 523 of the family's 1533-position model. The record is from RNAcentral.